This is a non-coding RNA of Caenorhabditis elegans, 136 nucleotides long. NCBI's taxonomy places the organism in Eukaryota, Metazoa, Nematoda, Chromadorea, Rhabditida, Rhabditidae. The record is from Ensembl.
AGGGGCCAGAUAUUUUUUGGCCAUAUGGUGGAAACAAGAGAAAAGACAAAAAAGUGUUGAAAUCAAAGCUCGAUUUGAUCGAACAAGUCUGAGAAAAAUGAGCGAGAAAGUUGCCAAAAUAAGGUCCCAAGGGGAA